Molecule: long non-coding RNA, 1174 nt
Filed under: Trifolium pratense (red clover)
Lineage: Eukaryota; Viridiplantae; Streptophyta; Magnoliopsida; Fabales; Fabaceae
Description: long non-coding RNA (TPRA_LNC007470)
Source: RNAcentral
CUCACGUGUUCUCUCUCACUCCAACCACUCAUCUUCAUUCAUCAUCCUAGAACAAGCAAAAAAUGAUUCCUCUUCCUCGGACCUGAAUUCCAUGCAUUCAAAUGACCAUGCAGUCAUGCAUUUCUGGCCUUUAGAUCAAAAUUUUGAUGGUCCCGAAUUCAAAAUGAAUGGCUAUGAUUAACCUGCAGUUAAAUAGUGACUGCAGGGAAUCCAAAUCCCUCUUCCUCUCUUGAAGCAUCACGCAGUCACCACCACACCAAACCACAACCUUCUUCAUUGUCUCACAAUCUCUCACAUGCAAGUUCACAUUAAGCUUAAGAUUUUGGUUGUGGUUAAAGUAGAAACAACAACAAACAUUUCAAUCUUCUCUCUCCUCACGCAAAAACAUCAAGAACAACACCAAGGUCAUGAUUUUUCUAUUGGCACAUAUGGAAAUCACUACUCACAAGAUCUAUUCAACCCCAUACCUUAUUAACUACUAGAAAUCAAAACAAGAGACAAGCAUCCUCCUCCCUUCUCUUGGUACUGCCCAUGUUCUUCAAUUUCUUCUCAAAGAUGCACACCUUCUCCCCUUCAUAGGUUUUGGGUUAGUAAUGAGGCAUGGAAACCUGUUUUAAGAUAGGGUCAUGAUAUUGUAGAAUUACAGAAUUUUGGCGGCGGGUUUUGCAUGCUUGAGCCACUCAAACGGAUACAUAAGGGNNNNNNNNNNNNNNNNNNNNNNNNNNNNNNNNNNNUGGAGCUGCUGGAAAUUCACAGGUGGGUUCCUUUAGAAGCUUAAAUUUUAGAUUAGUUAGCACCUUUAGUUUCCCCAAAUUCAAUAUAUGUAUGAUAACAUUAGUAUUAGUUAGGAAAUUAGUCUCCCCAAAAAUUAUGCAUGACAACAAUAGGAAAAAUUAGGAAAUAGUUGUGUGAGAAGAUUUAAUCCCAAAACUAUCUACAUUCUAAUUAUAUAAUAAUAUUUUAGUUUCUUAUGACCGGACAUGAAUGAGAUUGUAGGUGGAAACUGAUAAACUCUUUUAAAAGUAAAAGCUGAGAAUUGAACUGGUAUUCUCGCAUAGCGAGCAUCUUGCUUCGCUAAGCGAGCGUAUCAAAUUAGGACUCUGUAGAAUCUACAUUUUAAAUAAAAAUCUACUCGUUUUAUAUCCCUGACUAUUCUGGAAUAUUUCGUAAGCAG